AUGUCCACAGGAAACAACAUGAUCCCGGAACCCCGGACAUUGUACAAGUGCUGUGGACAGGAGACCUAUAAUGAGGACCGGCGGUUGUGCUGUGGACGUCUGGGCAGUGAGAAGAUCCUUAUGAAGGAACACAAGGACAGCAUUUGCUGUGGAGACGUCCAGUACAACCCACAGACACAGCGCUGCUGCGGAGAUCCUCCUGAAAUAAAUGACCUCUCAAUUUCCUGUGAGACGGACUGUAAACAGGUUUUGACCCAAGAGCCUACAGCAAACAACAGGAUGUCGGGACCCCGGACAUUGUCCAAGUGCUGUGGACAGGAGGCCUAUAAUGUGGACCGGCAGUUGUGCUGUGGAAGUCUGCGCAAUGUGACGAUCCUUAUAAAGGAACAGAAGGGCAGCAUUUGCUGUGGAGACGUCCAGUACAACCCAGAGAAACAGGGCUGCUGUGGAGAUCCUCCUAAAAUAAAGGAACUCUCAGUUCCCUAUGAAACAGACUCAGAACAGGGUUUGACCCAAGAGCCCACAGGUUUGUUUCCUUCUCA
RNAcentral lists this long non-coding RNA (542 nucleotides) under Gadus morhua (Atlantic cod). Its description in RNAcentral is "lncRNA (ENSGMOG00000029474.1)". The record is from RNAcentral. Lineage: Eukaryota; Metazoa; Chordata; Actinopteri; Gadiformes; Gadidae.